CUCGUUGAUGGAGACUGGUAUGUUUCCUGUUGGAGUGAGAAAGAACAAUCACAGUUAGCCUGCAAAGAUAAAAAAACAAAAAAAACAAAUCAUCACAGCUGAGGAAAAUGUGACCAUUGGUUCUCUAAAAAAACAAAUCAAGGCUUACUGGAUUCAUUGUGCUCUUCGGUAUGAUUUUUCUGUUGGCUCUGGUGUCACUGUGGUGUGAUUGCUGUAAAUGCAGUUCUAGCAGAAGAGCUGUUUAUGACAAAGUGAUCUUGGAACAGGGAGAAAACUUACUGAAAGAGCAUUUCAAAGAAGAAGCAGAAGAAGAGAGGACCACCAUCCUUGUGAAAAUAGAUUGAAAAGAAGAUGGAACACAAGAUAAAUAUGGAACUAAAGAGAAAUGGAUAACAGAGCUUGGAGAUGUUGCUGCCAACAUGAUUGAAAGCUCAGAAAAAAAACAAACUUUCUAAACAACAGAAAAUACUAGAUUCACAGCAAAAUCCCCAACAAUGUCCAACUGGGGGCACAGAAGCAUCUGCAACAGGGGCCACAGCUAAAUCCAUGACAGAGGGCACAGCAGGCCUCAAUAAUGACUGACUGUUUCUGACCUGACGAGUUAGCUGCAAAAAAGGACAAUUUGCAUGUUUAUCAACGGUUUGCUAAAAUUAGCUUGAAAAUUUCAAAGUCAUUGACAAAAUCAAUCAUAACACAUUUAAACAUUUAUACAAUACAUAUAUAAUAAGUUAUAUAAAAAUAUACAAUACAUUUAUAUGAUACAUACAAAAAUUACAUUUUAAAACAUCUAUUCUAUGAAUGAUUUUAAGGACUCCAGCCUUAUUAAUUCAGAAGAAAACAUUUAAUGGAUUGUUAUGUAUUCUUUGUGAGAAUCACGAUUUUCUGGUGCCCAAAAGAAAGUAAGAAACAAAGGGAAGUAUCUGCAUCUUUUUUAUAUCAUGGGUUGCAGCAGGAUGGCAUAUAGAAUAUUUUACAUUUCUGUUACAUGUAUGUAUUGUUUUAGUAAAUUCAGUCUUUUGCAAAUGUAAUCCAAAUGCUACAAGUAAGUAGUAAGAACGAAAAGAAAGAACAUAUAUUUCCUGAUAUUUUUGCAUCUGCUACUGGCCUGAAAAGAUUUAAGUAUUUAUUUCGUCACAUAAGGGUAUACUACCAUCUUGUUAAUCUGGUAAAAAGAAAAAAAAAAGUCUGCAAAAAAUCUAACUGUUACAUUAUUUGUCUUUAUCCAAUCAUACUAUGAAUUCAGUCUUGGAUGUGGAGCCACUGAUGUUCUUGCCUGUUUAAAUCUCUGGUUGCAAUGUGAUAUUCUAUAUUAUUAUUUUGUGUUUCAUCAUUUUAUUGUUCUGUUGGCUGUCUCCUUAUUAAAAGUCAGAUUUGAA
This is a long non-coding RNA of Oreochromis niloticus (Nile tilapia), 1376 nucleotides long. RefSeq lists it as uncharacterized. The record is from RefSeq and is a predicted model, not a curated record. The transcript is spliced from 2 exons. NCBI's taxonomy places the organism in Eukaryota, Metazoa, Chordata, Actinopteri, Cichliformes, Cichlidae.